This 403-nucleotide ribosomal RNA is filed under the name uncultured bacterium. RNAcentral describes it as "partial 16S ribosomal RNA". It matches the Rfam family "Bacterial small subunit ribosomal RNA", at positions 28 to 526 of the family's 1533-position model. The record is from RNAcentral.
GACGAACGCUGGCGGCGUGCCUAAUACAUGCAAGUCGAACGCAGUGGGGACGGGUGAGUAACACGUGGGUAACCUCCCAUCAGAGGGGAUAACACUUGGAAACAGGUGCUAAACCGAUACUGAUGGAUGGACCCGCGGUGCAUUAGCUAGUUGGUGAGGUAACGGCUCACCAAGGCCACGGUGCAUAGCGGACCUGGGAGGGUGAUCGGCCACUCUAGGACGCAGACACGUCCCAGCGGCCUAAGUGAGGAAGCAGUAAGGCAUGUUCGGAAAUGGGGUAAAGUCUGACCCAGCGACCCCGCGUGUGUGAAGAAGGUGUUCGGUUCGGAAAACUCUGUUGUUAGAGAAGCGGGAUCUAACCAGAAAGCCACGGCUAACUACGUGCCAGCCGCCGCGGUAAUUC